This 506-nucleotide ribosomal RNA is filed under the name uncultured bacterium. RNAcentral's name for it is "partial 16S ribosomal RNA". It matches the Rfam family "Bacterial small subunit ribosomal RNA", at positions 29 to 523 of the family's 1533-position model. The record is from RNAcentral.
AGUGAACGCUGGCGGUAGGCCUAACACAUGCAAGUCGAACGGCAGCACAGGAGAGCUUGCUCUCUGGGUGGCGAGUGGCGGACGGGUGAGGAAUACAUCGGAAUCUACUUUUUCGUGGGGGAUAACGUAGGGAAACUUACGCUAAUACCGCAUACGACCUACGGGUGCAAGCAGGGGAACUUCGGACCUUGCGCGAUUGAAUGAGCCGAUGUCGGAUGAGCUAGUUGGCGGGGUAAAGGCCCACCAAGGCGACGAGCCGUAGCUGGUCUGAGAGGAUGAUCAGCCACACUGGAACGGAGACACGGUCCAGACUCCUACAGGAGGCAGCAGUGGGGAAUAUUGGACAAUGGGCGCAAGCCUGAUCCAGCCAUACCGCGUGGGUGAAGAAGGCCUUCGGGUUGUAAAGCCCUUUUGUUGGGAAAGAAAUCCAGCUGGUUAAUACCCGGUUGGGAUGACGGUACCCAAAGAAUAAGCACCGGCUAACUUCGUGCCAGCAGCCGCGGUAA